This is a non-coding RNA of Podarcis lilfordi (Lilford's wall lizard), 72 nucleotides long. The record is from the annotation of a GenBank genome assembly. Lineage: Eukaryota; Metazoa; Chordata; Lepidosauria; Squamata; Lacertidae.
GCUGUAGUUCACUGGUAGCACAUCUGCCUUGCAUGCAGAAGGUCCCAAGUUCAACCCCCAAUGGCAUCUCCA